AUGGAUGUAGCUCAGUGGUAGAGCACAUGCUUGGUGUGCAUGAGUUCCGAGGUUCAAUCCUCAGCACGCAAG
This 72-nucleotide transfer RNA is filed under the name Fukomys damarensis (Damara mole-rat). It matches the Rfam family "tRNA". Rfam says of the family: Transfer RNA (tRNA) molecules are approximately 80 nucleotides in length. The record is from Rfam by way of RNAcentral. Lineage: Eukaryota; Metazoa; Chordata; Mammalia; Rodentia; Bathyergidae.